Long non-coding RNA from Mesocricetus auratus (golden hamster), 489 nucleotides. RefSeq lists it as uncharacterized. The transcript has 3 exons. The record is from RefSeq and is a predicted model, not a curated record. Lineage: Eukaryota; Metazoa; Chordata; Mammalia; Rodentia; Cricetidae.
GUAUGUAGUCUAGGUUGGACUCAUAUUCACAAUGUUCCUGCCUCAGCCUAUUAAUGUUGGGAUUGUAGCCAUCUGCCACCACACCUGGCUUAUGAAUUCCUCUCUCUAAAUUCUUUACCAAGAAUUGAGCUUGGCCAACACCUGAAUUUUGGACUUAAGGCACCCUAAGCAGAGAGAUAACUGAGCCACUACGGACUUCUGAUGUCAGGAUUGUGAAAUAAAAAUGAAAAGCUGUGGAUUCCUUCCAAACUAAUAUGGUUUGGUCAAGCAAGAACCCCGAAGCAAUGGCCCAGGUGAUCCAACAUCCAAAACAGCUGAGACCAUGAAGACUCAGACUACUACAGUCAGGAUUUGGACAGGUUUCUGGUUUUUCUCAGGACCCCCUUGGCAUUGACAGUGCCCCCAAACUGCAAAAAGCAGUUUAGGGAGAACAACAUCAACAUUCCCAAGGUUUUUCAUAACAGUGAGACACGACUGCUCCUGGCAACA